RNAcentral lists this ribosomal RNA (1405 nucleotides) under Lactiplantibacillus plantarum. RNAcentral's name for it is "bacterial SSU rRNA". It matches the Rfam family "Bacterial small subunit ribosomal RNA". The record is from RNAcentral. Lineage: Bacteria; Bacillati; Bacillota; Bacilli; Lactobacillales; Lactobacillaceae.
AUUGAUUGGUGCUUGCAUCAUGAUUUACAUUUGAGUGAGUGGCGAACUGGUGAGUAACACGUGGGAAACCUGCCCAGAAGCGGGGGAUAACACCUGGAAACAGAUGCUAAUACCGCAUAACAACUUGGACCGCAUGGUCCGAGCUUGAAAGAUGGCUUCGGCUAUCACUUUUGGAUGGUCCCGCGGCGUAUUAGCUAGAUGGUGGGGUAACGGCUCACCAUGGCAAUGAUACGUAGCCGACCUGAGAGGGUAAUCGGCCACAUUGGGACUGAGACACGGCCCAAACUCCUACGGGAGGCAGCAGUAGGGAAUCUUCCACAAUGGACGAAAGUCUGAUGGAGCAACGCCGCGUGAGUGAAGAAGGGUUUCGGCUCGUAAAACUCUGUUGUUAAAGAAGAACAUAUCUGAGAGUAACUGUUCAGGUAUUGACGGUAUUUAACCAGAAAGCCACGGCUAACUACGUGCCAGCAGCCGCGGUAAUACGUAGGUGGCAAGCGUUGUCCGGAUUUAUUGGGCGUAAAGCGAGCGCAGGCGGUUUUUUAAGUCUGAUGUGAAAGCCUUCGGCUCAACCGAAGAAGUGCAUCGGAAACUGGGAAACUUGAGUGCAGAAGAGGACAGUGGAACUCCAUGUGUAGCGGUGAAAUGCGUAGAUAUAUGGAAGAACACCAGUGGCGAAGGCGGCUGUCUGGUCUGUAACUGACGCUGAGGCUCGAAAGUAUGGGUAGCAAACAGGAUUAGAUACCCUGGUAGUCCAUACCGUAAACGAUGAAUGCUAAGUGUUGGAGGGUUUCCGCCCUUCAGUGCUGCAGCUAACGCAUUAAGCAUUCCGCCUGGGGAGUACGGCCGCAAGGCUGAAACUCAAAGGAAUUGACGGGGGCCCGCACAAGCGGUGGAGCAUGUGGUUUAAUUCGAAGCUACGCGAAGAACCUUACCAGGUCUUGACAUACUAUGCAAAUCUAAGAGAUUAGACGUUCCCUUCGGGGACAUGGAUACAGGUGGUGCAUGGUUGUCGUCAGCUCGUGUCGUGAGAUGUUGGGUUAAGUCCCGCAACGAGCGCAACCCUUAUUAUCAGUUGCCAGCAUUAAGUUGGGCACUCUGGUGAGACUGCCGGUGACAAACCGGAGGAAGGUGGGGAUGACGUCAAAUCAUCAUGCCCCUUAUGACCUGGGCUACACACGUGCUACAAUGGAUGGUACAACGAGUUGCGAACUCGCGAGAGUAAGCUAAUCUCUUAAAGCCAUUCUCAGUUCGGAUUGUAGGCUGCAACUCGCCUACAUGAAGUCGGAAUCGCUAGUAAUCGCGGAUCAGCAUGCCGCGGUGAAUACGUUCCCGGGCCUUGUACACACCGCCCGUCACACCAUGAGAGUUUGUAACACCCAAAGUCGGUGGGGUAACCUUUUAGGAA